CACAUUCGUUCCGGUUCAGUUUCUGAUCGGGUCAAACCCGGUCAAAGUCAGUCAACUCGGUCAAGACAAGUCAGCGGCUCAGUCAACGGGUGUCGGUACAGUCAACUCAGUCAACACACGACUUGGGUGACCUCGGUGUUCCAUCCUCCUAAUCUCUUACGCUCGUCAACUUUUGGGAUAAUCGGAAGACUUAGCAAUUUUGUGAGUAUACUC
This is a long non-coding RNA of Helianthus annuus (common sunflower), 213 nucleotides long. RefSeq lists it as uncharacterized. Lineage: Eukaryota; Viridiplantae; Streptophyta; Magnoliopsida; Asterales; Asteraceae. The transcript has 3 exons. The record is from RefSeq and is a predicted model, not a curated record.